RNAcentral lists this ribosomal RNA (253 nucleotides) under uncultured bacterium. Its description in RNAcentral is "partial 16S ribosomal RNA". It matches the Rfam family "Bacterial small subunit ribosomal RNA", at positions 524 to 776 of the family's 1533-position model. The record is from RNAcentral.
UACAGAGGGUGCAAGCGUUGUUCGGAAUUAUUGGGCGUAAAGGGUUCGUAGGUGGCUUGUUAAGUCAGACGUGAAAUCCCUCGGCUCAACCGGGGAACUGCGUCUGAGACUGAUGAGCUCGAGUGCAGGAGAGGAACGCGGAAUUCCAGGUGUAGCGGUGAAAUGCGUAGAUAUCUGGAGGAACACCGGUGGCGAAGGCGGCGUUCUGGACUGCAACUGACGCUCAUGCACGACAGCGUGGGGAUCAAACAGG